Molecule: long non-coding RNA, 3238 nt
Organism: Physeter macrocephalus (sperm whale)
Lineage: Eukaryota; Metazoa; Chordata; Mammalia; Artiodactyla; Physeteridae
Exons: 3
Source: RefSeq, a predicted model, not a curated record
CUGCGCGCGCAGCUUCUUAGGGACCGUGUAGUGUAAAUCUGUGCUGCGCCGUCUCGCAGACUGCACCCCCAGGGUCUUGGGAGUCACUACGGACCUUAACUCCCAGCAGCCGGCCCUCCGACCCAGUAAAUCGAGACAAAACCGUUACAGGUCGGGCACCGUUGACCUUCAAGGAUGUGGCCGCAGAAUUCUCUCAGGAGGAGUGGGAAUGCCUGGACCCUGCCCAGAGGGCCUUGUACAGGGACGUGAUGCUGGAGACCUGCGGGAACCUGCUCUCCCUGGGCUUCCCUGGUGGCGCAGUGGUUGAGAGUCCGCCUGCCGAUGCAGGGGACGUGAGUUUGUAACCCAGUCCGGGAAGAUCCCACAUGCCGCAGAGCAGCUAGGCCCGUGAGCCAUGGCCGCUGAGCCGACACAUCCAGAGCCUGUGCUCUGCAACGGGAGAGACCACAACAGUGAGAGGCCCGCGUACCGCAAAAAAAAAAAAAAAAAAAAAAAUUACUUCUUUAUACAUUUUGCAUUCAAUAACAGAUAAUGAUUGUUUACAUAUUUGCCUUUUAAUUCAGGUUAAAAUAUGAGUUAUAAACCAAAAAAUACAGUAAUACUGCCUUUUAUAUACACCUAUGUAGUUAUAUUACCACUGUUCUUUGUUCCUGUGCCUUUGAGGUACUGCUAGUAGCCUUUCAUUUUGGCCUCAAGAAUUCCAUUUAGUGUUUCAUGUAGUAUAAGUCUGUCAAUGUAAACUUCCUCAGCUUUUGUUUAUCUAGGAGUCUCUAAAUUUCAUUAUCAAUUUUAAAGCAUAGUUUGCCUGAUAAUGAAUUAUUUUAAUCUUUCAAAAUUUAAAUAUAUCAUCAGAUUCCUUCCUGCCCUCCACAGUUUCUGAGAAAGAGGCUAUUAAUUUUAUUAAGCAUCUUUGUACAUGAGAAGUCAUUUCUGUCUUGCUACUCUCUACAUUCUUUUUUUGUAUUUUAACAAUUGACUAUGUGUCUUGCCCAAGCUCUCUAUGAAUUUAUCAUACUUGGAGUUCGUUGACUUUCUUGGAUUUGCAGGUUCACAUUUUUAAUAAAUUUGUGAGGUUUUUCAGCUCUUAUUUCUUCAAAUAUUAUUUCUGCCCUUUCCUGUUUCUCCUUUCCUUCUAGGACUCCUAUUAUGUGUAUACUGGUAUUCUUGGGAAUGUCUCAAAAGUUUCUUAGUCUCUGUUCAUGUUUCUUUUUACCACCUUUCUUCUAUUCAGAGUGGAUAAUUCCAAUUAACCUAUGUUCAGCUUCACUGAUUCUUUAUUCUGAUUGUCAAUCUGCUGUUGAAAUCCUCUAGGGAAUUCUCAAUUUCAGUUGUGGUACUUUUCAGCUCUAGAAUUUCUAAUUCUCUUUAUUGAUAUUUUCUGUUUCUUGAAACAGUUUUCUCCUACUUUCUUUUAGUUCUCUGUCCAUGGUUUCCCUUAAGUCUCUGAGUACAAUUAAGACAGUUGAUUUAAAAUCUUUAUUUAGUAAUUGUAGUAUCUGUGCUUCCUUAUGAACACCAUUAUUAACCCAGUAAUCAUGCUCAAGCUUCUCAUUCUGGAGAAAUUCUUAGAUAUCUAUAGUAAAGUUGGCAUGCUCAGAAGCAGCCACUGUGGCUUUUUUUUUAAAUAAUAAAUUUAUUUACUUAUUUGGCUGCGUCAGGUCUUAGUUGCGGCACACGGGCAAUUGUUGCGGCACACAGCCUCUCUAGUUGUGGCGGAUGGGCUCUAGAGUGCACAAAUGGGCUCAGUAGUUGCGGCGUAGGGGCUCCGUUGCCCCACGGCAUAUGGGAUCUUAGUUCCCCGACCAGAGAUCAAACCUGCGUCCCCUGCAUUGGAAGGUGGAUUCUUAACCACUGGACCACCAGGGAAGUCCCGGCCUUUUCUUAUAACUGUAAAAACUGUAAAGGACCCAUUUAUCUUCAUUAAGAGAAUGCUCCACUGAGGAUACAAAAAAGAAAGUCAUCUCUAUGUCUAUUCAUGAAAACAAGUCUAAGAUACAUGGUAUGUAGAUAUUUAAAUUUGAAGAAUAAAAUACCAUAACAAAAUAUUUAGUAAAGAAUAUUUUCUAAAAUCACAUUUCCAUAUGUAAAUGUACUGUUGUAAGAUUUGCAGUGAGAACGAACAGUGGUUUCUGAUGGAGACAGUAAGUGAUGGUGUUAAGAUGUGACAGGGAAGGGGAUAUUUUACUUCUUAGUCUCUAAACUGCAUCGCUGUGUGAAGCUGAAUUACAGAACUGUAUCUAUGAAGUGUUUAAAACAAAAAAAAUAUAACACUGAACAACAAGCAGUAGAAUCAUAAUUUGGCUCCAGUCUAUCUGAUGACAGAAAUUUGUGCUCCUAUGUCUUGGCUAAAUUAUAACCAUCUAAAACACAUGCUGGGACUUCCCUGGUGGUCCAGUGGGUAAGACUCCACGCUCCCAAUGCAGGGGGCCCAGGUUCAAUCCCUGGUUGGGGAAGUAGAUCCCACAUGCAUGCCACAACUAAAAAAGAUCCUGCAUGCUGCAACCAAAGAUCCUGCAUGCUGGAACCAAGAUCCCACCUUCUGCAACGAAGACCUGGCACAGCCAAAGUAAAUAAAUAAAUAAAUCUUCUAAAGUAAAUAAAUAAAACACAUGCUGCAUGAGAGUCCCCACAUGAACAGGAGGGUCUCUGUAAGACAAACAUGCUGUGAAUAAUAUUUAAAACCCUUAUUGUUAGAUAACACCCUAUUAUUUAUUUCUGUUUCUCAAAUUCCCAUUCUACUUUACAGUACUGAUAUUUUAGAGUGAAAACCACUGAUUCACUCCUUUUAUUUCAAAGGCACUUAUAAAAUCUGACAAAGCAAGUUUCCCCAUAUCAGUCUUCCUUCCCAGACCUCCUCAGGUAUUUGUGCACAGCAGUACAUCACUUACAUAUGUAGUCUCUUUCAUCCUGGUUUACAUGGAGCUGAAAGGGCAUCCAGAAGGGUGCACUAAACAAUCCUCACUGCCCUACCUCACUGACACCACAGAGCCUACUCCCCAUCUCCAACCCACGCCUGAGUAUAAAACCUUUCACGGGAUGACCACCUGAAAGGGGGCUCUUCCCAAGUUCCCCGUCACUGGGUCACAGUGACAUGGAAUCUGCAGGGAGGAGAGAGGAGACUGAGGGAAGGCCCUGUGUGUGAGUAAACAUUUUAGACAGGAAGCUUCAGAGACCAAGAAGCUCUGCGCGUCCGAAACGUGUCAUUUUAGGAAGGAGAGAACAGUCCACAAAGAAUAUG